UGCUCAUGAUGCCAUCUCAUUUCUUCAGCUAUCGUUAUGGACAGAUACAAUCUUUGAAGUCUUGAAAUCAAUGAAAGAUACUUCAAAAUCUUUUGAGAUAUCUUCUUUUCUUUUUUGUUAUCAAUUUUAUACCUAGGCUCACUGUAUUUUAGACAUUUAGUUGCCUAUUCUCUAUCCUUAUAAAAUAAUAUACAAUCAUUUUUAUAGGCAUCUAUAAAAAUAU
RNAcentral lists this long non-coding RNA (223 nucleotides) under Elaeis guineensis (African oil palm). Its description in RNAcentral is "long non-coding RNA (EGUI_LNC044015)". The record is from RNAcentral. Lineage: Eukaryota; Viridiplantae; Streptophyta; Magnoliopsida; Arecales; Arecaceae.